This is a long non-coding RNA of Polypterus senegalus (gray bichir), 1289 nucleotides long. RefSeq lists it as uncharacterized. Lineage: Eukaryota; Metazoa; Chordata; Cladistia; Polypteriformes; Polypteridae. The transcript is spliced from 3 exons. The record is from RefSeq and is a predicted model, not a curated record.
UCUACUGACUUCAUAAAAGAGUCACCAGAGAUGUGAAUGUCACUGCCGAGACCAAGUAGGAAAUCAACGGAGACUUUGCACUUUUACCAAAAUGAUGACCAGAAAUUCCAAUGAACUCAAUGACGCCAAACAUUUAAAGCAGCUGGGAAACAAGGCUCUCCAAACAGGCAUAUCUGAAGACGCUGGAUCUCACGUAGCUGAGUGGAAGAGGGAUAACAAAGCUGGAACUUGUGAUUUCCAUGGGGUUGGGCGCCGACUUCAGUUCUGCACCCUGGCAUCUCACUUUAACUGUGGUGACAGUCGUUUCCUAACUUCAUCACACUGACUGACAGGUACUACAACUUAAAACGCCCAACAUAUUUCACUGCGCUGGACAAGUCACAUCAGCCAGGGAUGAAUCACCAAAAGAAUGAGCUGGCGUGACCUCAUCAAUAGCGGGGGCGCAUAUAAAAAUGCCAGCUCUGCACAGUUGCACCAGCUUUUCCAACUAGUGUGGCGAAAGGCAAGCAGUCCUUUUAAAGAUCAAAGAGCUACAUAAAGAGCAGAGUGACACUCGGCACCGACACUACAGUAUUUAUUUUUGCACGGCUCCCAAUCUUUGCAAUCCUUACAUUCAUUUGCAGUUGCACUUCCUAUGUCUUCACGAAGAAGUCGGUUUCAUUAUCUCCUCGUUCUUUUGCUAUUUUGAUUUACUUCGGAUUUGCUGCGUAACGUAAAUGGUGAACUUGGCUGAAAAACCACAAGUACCCAAUAGGUAAGAGUUACCUGUUUUUGGAUGUGCUUCGCCACAUCAAACCGUUCAUCAAACAUCGAAGCAGGCACAGCGAUCUCUGAGGAUCCUCAAAGCGGCUUGCUGUCUCUCACAUGUUGAUAGCAAACAGAGAUUCUGACAUCACGUUCCGACUUGAUCACUCUGCGCCCCCCCGAUUUUAAGCUGGUACUGCCACUCGUGCCCGCGUUGCGUUAAUUUCUCAAGACAUGCCCAAAGGACGCAUCAAAUGAAUACUGGGAACGUGUAGCAGCCAUGAGCGUGAAGUAUAAACCGGCCCUAUGAAUUAUGUAUUCUAUACAUGUGAUAAUAGCACUGCUAGUGAGACGUCACAAGUGGCAAUUCCCUCCGCACGUGAACACAGCAUUACUCCUGAACCCACAAGCUCAUCCAAUCAGCAGCUAUUCCCUGCAAAAUAGGGGCCUUAAUGUCCCCCUGCCAAGUCUGAGUCACAUAAAACAGCUACAACAACAACAACAUUGCAGACCUGUAAAUACCUGGGAGUGCAGCUGGAUGAUAA